RNAcentral lists this non-coding RNA (29 nucleotides) under Mus musculus (house mouse). Lineage: Eukaryota; Metazoa; Chordata; Mammalia; Rodentia; Muridae. The record is from RNAcentral.
UGUUUAGUCACUGCACCUUCUUUGAGCCC